GCUGAGGAGUCGGCGGUGGCGGCGGCGGGCGGGGCUCGGCUCGGGCUCCGCGGGCGGGCGGGCGGACAUGGCGGCCAACAUGUACCGGGUCGGAGAUUAUGUGUACUUUGAGAAUUCCUCCAGCAACCCAUACCUAAUAAGAAGGAUAGAAGAACU
Molecule: long non-coding RNA, 156 nt
Organism: Sapajus apella (tufted capuchin)
Lineage: Eukaryota; Metazoa; Chordata; Mammalia; Primates; Cebidae
Exons: 2
Source: RefSeq, a predicted model, not a curated record